Molecule: ribosomal RNA, 253 nt
Filed under: uncultured bacterium
Lineage: Bacteria
Description: partial 16S ribosomal RNA
Rfam family: Bacterial small subunit ribosomal RNA
Source: RNAcentral
UACAGAGGUCUCAAGCGUUGUUCGGAUUCAUUGGGCGUAAAGGGUUUGUAGGUGGCCAACUAAGUCAGACGUGAAAUCCCUCAGCUUAACUGGGGAACUGCGUCUGAGACUGGAUGGCUUGAGUGCAGGAGAGGAACGCGGAAUUCCAGGUGUAGCGGUGAAAUGCGUAGAUAUCUGGAGGAACACCGGUGGCGAAGGCGGCGUUCUGGACUGCAACUGACACUGAAAAACGAAAGCCAGGGGAGCAAACGGG